Molecule: ribosomal RNA, 1481 nt
Filed under: uncultured bacterium
Lineage: Bacteria
Description: bacterial SSU rRNA
Rfam family: Bacterial small subunit ribosomal RNA
Source: RNAcentral
AGAGUUUGAUCAUGGCUCAGAAUGAACGCUGGCGGUGUGGAUAAGGCAUGCAAGUCAAACGGUCGCGUUUACGCGAUAGUGGCGAAUGGGUUAGUAACACGUAACUACUUACCCAAUACACAGGCAUAACCCAAAGAAAUUUGGAUUAAUUCCUGGUAGUCUGGCAUUUAUUGUCAGUAGAGGCGCAAGCCGGUAUUGGACAGGGUUGCGGUCUAUCAGCUUGAAGGUGGGGUAAUGGCCUACCUUGGCUAUGACGGAUAGGGGGUGUGAGAGCAUGUUCCCCAACAAUGGUACUGAGACACGGACCAUACUCCUACGGGAGGCAGCAGUCGAGAAUAUUAGGCAAUGGGCGAAAGCCUGACCUAGCGACACCGCGUGCUUGAAGAAGCCCUUCGGGGUGUAAAGAGCUUUUCUAAAAGAACAAGUCGCGUUUCACUAUUGUUCAGCGGUUUUUGAAUUUGAACAAUAAAACGAUGAAUAGUAGCGAGGCGCGAUUGAGCGUAUUUUAGGAAUAAGGGGCUGCUAACUCUGUGCCAGCAGCAGCGGUAAUACAGAGGCCCCAAGCGUUAUCCGGAUUUAUUGGGCGUAAAGAGUUCGUAGGCGUUUUAUUAGGUUCUUCGUUAAACACCAGCGCUUAACGUUGGGAAUGCGGGGAAAACCAGUAAAAUAGAGGACGUUAGAGGCAGAUAGAACAUUCGGUGUAGGGGUGAAAUCCGUUGAUAUCGAAUGGAAUACCAAAUGCGAAGGCAGCUAGCUGGGCCAUUUCUGACGCUGAGGAACGAAAGCGUGGGGAGCGAACGGGAUUAGAUACCCCGGUAGUCCACGCCGUAAACGAUGGAUACUAGGCAUUGGCGGCAUCGGUCCCCUCAGUGCCGUAGCUAACGCGUUAAGUAUCCCGCCUGGGGAGUACGGUCGCAAGACUAAAACUCAAAGGAAUUGACGGGGACCCGCACAAGCGGUGGAGCACGUGGUUUAGUUCGACAGUAAGCGGAGCACCUCACCAGGUCUUGCAUCCUGCGGAAAGCUUUAGGAAACUAUCGCCCUCCUUUUGGACUGCAGUGACAGGUGCUGCACGGUUGUCGUCAGCUCGUGUCGUGAGAUGUAUGGUUAAGUCCAGUAACGAGCGCAACCCCUAUGUUGUGUUGUAUUUUUCACAACAGACUGCCCUGGUUAACAGGGAGGAAGGUGGGGAUGACGUCAAAUCAGCGUGGCCCUUAUGGCCUGGGCGACACACAUGCUACAAUGGCCAGGAACAACGGGUUGCUAAAUCGUAAGAUGGAGCUAAUCCCUUAAAACUGGUCCCAGUUCGGAUUGCAGGCUGCAACUCGCCUGCAUGAAGCCGGAAUCGCUAGUAACCGUGAAUCAGCCAUGUCGCGGUGAAUACGUUCUCGGGUCUUGUACACACCGCCCGUCAUACCACGAAAGUCAGGGGCACCCGAAACUCCAUUUAUGGGACUAAGGUGAAACUGAUGAUUGGGGUA